AAUAAACCAAUUUUUCACUUUUUACCUAUAAUUUUUGACUCUUCGUUUUAUUUAAAUUUUUUUGCGAUUGAUAUUUUUAUUUUUAUUAGACGAUAAAUCAUAAAUAGUACGUAAUACGUGUGAUUAAUUUUUUUCUAAUUUUAUAAAAUUUUUUCAAAUAAGACGGAUGGUCAAAUAUUGAACACGAAAACCGAAG
Molecule: microRNA precursor, 196 nt
Filed under: Oryza brachyantha (malo sina)
Lineage: Eukaryota; Viridiplantae; Streptophyta; Magnoliopsida; Poales; Poaceae
Description: MIR812 microRNA precursor family
Rfam family: MIR812 microRNA precursor family
Source: Rfam by way of RNAcentral